Molecule: transfer RNA, 77 nt
Filed under: Flammeovirgaceae bacterium
Lineage: Bacteria; Pseudomonadati; Bacteroidota; Cytophagia; Cytophagales; Flammeovirgaceae
Description: tRNA-Met
Rfam family: tRNA
About the family: Transfer RNA (tRNA) molecules are approximately 80 nucleotides in length.
Source: RNAcentral
GGGGUCGUAGCAUAAUUGGUAAAUGCCCCUGUCUCAUAAACAGUAGAUAGCUGGUUCAAAUCCAGCGGGCCCCACCA